GAUGCCCGUCACAGGCAGGGCCUCGGCUUGGGUCAUGAUAGUACUUGUUGGAAUAUUCAUCCUAAAUUGCAUAAGCAGAAGAUAGAGGGAAAAAAGAGGGAAUCGACUAAAUAUGCAGAAGGUGACAAAAAGAAUGAAGAAGGAUAUUUUAAGAACAAUCAAAGGUAAAGAAAAAAUUAUAAAUAGAAGUGGUUAACUAAAAUAAAUAAAUACAAA
This 216-nucleotide long non-coding RNA is filed under the name Capsicum annuum. RNAcentral describes it as "long non-coding RNA (CANN_LNC019296)". The record is from RNAcentral. Lineage: Eukaryota; Viridiplantae; Streptophyta; Magnoliopsida; Solanales; Solanaceae.